UUUUAAUUUUAUGUGGUGAGCAAUGUAUAUGUGAGUUUUGUGGAUGAGUCUAAGUAAAACUAAGCAAAUGAUGGUUGUAGGAGGUUCCCCAGAAGUGCCUGACCCACCCCGCAGCCCUGGAUGCCGACGUCACUGACUUGAAUGAUUGAAGCUCACAGCCACUUGGUAGAGAACGAAUGGUCUUCGCAAUGAUCAAAGACACGUGAUAGUGGACCAUCUACUUUGCAAAGCACUUUCCUGGUUUUUCUAUUUAAUGGAUUUGAAAGCCUCUGUCUAAGUUAAAAUUACAGGGAAUAUUUCGAUUCUAGCAAGUACUGUGUAAUGUAAGAAUUUAGAAUUUAUGCGUGGAUUUUCUAUUAAUGUAUUUGAAAGCCUAUGUGCAAGUUAGAUUACGCAAGAGUAUUUCGAUGCCAGGAAUGAGCGAGUAAUGCAGGAAUUCUAUGCAUGGAUUUUCUGCUUUGAAGUUCUAAAACAGAUUCUCUUGAAUCCUUUGAUGA
Molecule: long non-coding RNA, 497 nt
Organism: Eucalyptus grandis
Lineage: Eukaryota; Viridiplantae; Streptophyta; Magnoliopsida; Myrtales; Myrtaceae
Exons: 2
Source: RefSeq, a predicted model, not a curated record